CAGUCUGGAGUGCAGUGGCACGAUCUCGGCUCACUGCAACCUCCGCCUCCUGGGUGCAAGCAGUUCUCCUGUCUCGCCUCACCUGGUGAUGGUGAUGAUAGUGAUGAUGAUGGUGGAGGUGAUGAUGAUGAUGGUGUGGUGAUGGUGAUGGUGGUGGUAGUGAUGAUGGUUGAGGUGAUGAUGGUGUGGCAUUGUGUUGGUGAUAAUGGUGGUGGUGAUGAUAGUGGUUGAGGAGUUGAUAAUGAUGGUGUGGCAAUGUUGGUGAUGGUGAUGGUGGUGAAGGCCAUGGUGAUGAUGUCACUCUUACAAGGGUAAGUUCUUUUUUUUCCUCUUUUAUUGAGUUAAAAUUUACAUAGCAUAAUAUUAAUCAUUUUAAAGUUAACAAUUCAGUGGUGCUUAGUAAAUUCACAAUGCUAUGCAACCGUCGCCUCUAUCUAGCUUCAAAAUAUUUCAAUUUCCAAAGGAAACUCUGUACCCACUAAACUGUAACUCCUCAUUGCUCUUUUCU
RNAcentral lists this long non-coding RNA (508 nucleotides) under Homo sapiens (human). RNAcentral's name for it is "HSALNT0372012". The record is from RNAcentral. Lineage: Eukaryota; Metazoa; Chordata; Mammalia; Primates; Hominidae.